Non-coding RNA from Betta splendens (Siamese fighting fish), 707 nucleotides. The record is from the annotation of a RefSeq genome assembly. NCBI's taxonomy places the organism in Eukaryota, Metazoa, Chordata, Actinopteri, Anabantiformes, Osphronemidae.
UUCUGUAGAUUUUAACAAAUGUUUUAUGCUAUAAAAAUUUAAAUAAAUAAAACAAAGCUGUAAAACACAGCUAAAAACUAUAAAACUAUAAAAACUGUAAAAACAAAUGUUGACAGAAAAGCUUCCUGUAGAGUUUGUUGUGUGGGAGUCAGAGCCGUGUCUCUGCACUCAGGUUUUUGUACGACCACUCAACCAGUUUGUUUCACUGUGGUUCACGUUCGGUGCAGGAACCAGACUGGAUGUUGGAGGUGAUGCUCGCCCCACCCUGACGGUGCUGCCUCCCUCCAGGCAGGAGCUGCAGCGGGGGACGGCCACGCUCACGUGUCUGGCCGACCGGGGCUUCCCCUCAGACUGGACUCUGUCCUGGCAGCUGGACGGCGGCGGCAUCAGCGGCGGCGCCGGCGCCGGGUGGGAGGAGCGACGCGGCGCCGGCGUGGUGGGGCAGGACGGCCGCUACAGCUGGAGCAGCAGCCUCACCAUCCCUGCAGAGCAGUGGAGGGCGGUGGGCGCGGCGAGCUGCGAGGCCUCCCACAGCUCCCAGUCUACAGUCACAGAGACACUGAGACGGGGCCAGUGUGUCUAGUCCUGACCCAUUCUGUAUCUGCGUCCUUCUGUCACACGCUCAGCUCAUUUUGAAAAAAUUCUGCUUUUUGCAUCAAUCUAAAAUCGUCUUUGUCCUUUCAGGCAAUAAAGAUUUGUGUCUAAAA